This is a long non-coding RNA of Peromyscus leucopus (white-footed mouse), 841 nucleotides long. RefSeq lists it as uncharacterized. The transcript has 2 exons. The record is from RefSeq and is a predicted model, not a curated record. NCBI's taxonomy places the organism in Eukaryota, Metazoa, Chordata, Mammalia, Rodentia, Cricetidae.
CUGGCAAGUGUUUCCUGAGAGUCAGCACAAAGGAGCUGUGUUCCAGAGGCGGCCAAGGUUGUACCUCAGGCUGGGAGCUGGACUUGCUAAUGUGUCACAGAUGGUACAGGUUUUGAAGGCAUGAAGGGGUCAUGGAGAGCAGCUGAGGCUUGGCACUGAGAGGCCAGGAGAGGCCACUGGUGAAGGUGCAGCCUCAGUGGCAGUUGAAGGCCCAGGACUGAAGGGGUCAUGCGAAGAAGUUGAGGUUUGGCACCAUGAGGAGAGCCUGUGAGAGGCUAUUGGUGAAAGCGCAGUCCAGCUGCAGCAGAGACCCCAGCACUUUGGAGAUGCCAGCACCUGGGAUGACCACCAAGAACAGCAGCAGCAGGGGAGUGGAACCUGCUGGGGCCUAGAAGACGAGCUGUGUGUGCUGCAGAGGGCGGAGCCGGAGAGGUGACCCAGGCACUUCGGAGAAGCCCAGAAGAUUGGGAGUGGAUCCCAGACACUGGACACUCCAUUAUUUACACGUUGGGGGAUUUCGUUUUGCUUUGUUCGGAUUGUGAUUGUGUCCUGGUUCUUCCCUCUUGAAGUAAGAAAGUACUUAAUUUGUUUUUGAUUUUACAGGAGUCCCCAGUUGAGAGAUUUUAACCUUGUUUAAAAAGAGGUUUUGGAGUUUUACAGAGAAUUUGGAUUUUAAAAAAGACUGGAUAUUUUUAAGGAGUUCAAAUGUGUAAGGCUGUGGGACUUUUAUGUUUGUAAAGUGGUUUAUAUUGUGAUGUGUUUAUUAAUGUGUGAUCUCGGGGAUGAGCAAGAAAGGAAACGUUGUGGCUUAAAAAAAAAAAGAGUUCAAGGUCACCCUCAA